GUGAAGAACGUAGCGAAAUGCGAUAAGUAAUGUGAAUUGCAGAAUUCAGUGAAUCAUCGAAUCUUUGAACGCACCUUGCGCCCUUUGGCCAUUCCGAAGGGCAUGCCUGUUUGAGUAUCAUGAACACCUCAACUCUCAUGGCUUGCCAUGAUGAGCUUGGACUUUGGGGGUCUUGCUGGCCUGUGGUCGGCUCCUCUCAAAUGAAUCAGCUUGCCAGUGUUUGGUGGCAUCACAAGUGUGAUAACUAUCUGCGCUCGUGGUUUCCAUCAGAUAACCUCCAGUGAUGGAGGUUCGCUGGAGCUCAUAAAUGUCUCUCCUAAGCGAGGACAGCUCUUUUAAUGUUUGAUCUCAAAUCAGGUAGGACUACCCGCUGAACUUAAGCAUAUCAAUAAGCGGAGGA
Molecule: unclassified non-coding RNA, 400 nt
Filed under: soil metagenome
Description: partial contains 5.8S ribosomal RNA, internal transcribed spacer 2, and large subunit ribosomal RNA
Rfam family: 5.8S ribosomal RNA (bases 2-120)
Source: RNAcentral